GAUGAACGCUGGCGGCGUGCUUAACACAUGCAAGUCGAACGGAAAGGCCCAAGCUUGCUUGGGUGCUCGAGUGGCGAACGGGUGAGUAACACGUGGGUGAUCUGCCCUGCACUUUGGGAUAAGCCUGGGAAACUGGGUCUAAUACCGGAUAGGACCAUCGUUUAGUGUCGGUGGUGGAAAGUUUUUCGGUGUGGGAUGAGCUCGCGGCCUAUCAGCUUGUUGGUGGGGUAAUGGCCUACCAAGGCGUCGACGGGUAGCCGGCCUGAGAGGGUGUACGGCCACAUUGGGACUGAGAGACGGCCCAGACUCCUACGGGAGGCAGCAGUGGGGAAUAUUGCACAAUGGGCGCAAGCCUGAUGCAGCGACGCCGUGUGGGGGAUGACGGCCUUCGGGUUGUAAACUCCUUUCGCCAAGGACGAAGCGUUUUGUGACGGUACUUGGAGAAGAAGCACCGGCUAACUACGUG
Molecule: ribosomal RNA, 466 nt
Filed under: uncultured bacterium
Lineage: Bacteria
Description: partial 16S ribosomal RNA
Rfam family: Bacterial small subunit ribosomal RNA
Source: RNAcentral